Molecule: ribosomal RNA, 189 nt
Filed under: uncultured bacterium
Lineage: Bacteria
Description: partial 16S ribosomal RNA
Rfam family: Bacterial small subunit ribosomal RNA
Source: RNAcentral
CCUACGGGAGGCAGCAGUGAGGAAUAUUGGUCAAUGGGCGCGAGCCUGAACCAGCCAAGUCGCGUGAGGGAAGAAUGUCCUAUGGAUUGUAAACCUCUUUUGUCAGGGAGCAAAGUCACCCACGUGUGGGUGUUGGAGAGUACCUGAAGAAAAAGCAUCGGCUAACUCCGUGCCAGCAGCCGCGGUAAU